UGGGAGGAGGGAGGGAUUUUGAAUAAAAUUUUCCUCUGAUAACAACAAGUUAUUUAAGCAGCCUCUCCUGUUGGACCCGAAUUAAAAAAGGAUCGUGACGUCAAAUUGUAUGGUUCACUAACCACCAAUGAAAUUUGAGUUUUCUUAAACUCACUAAUAACCAACCAAUGUAAUAGUACAGCGCACCGUGAUAACUGAAUUUAAGUACAGGACUUAAAUUCUAUUAUCCCAGAUGCUAAUUAAGACCAAACAACAAAUUGGCAGUAUUUGGCCACAGCCUUUAAUAUUAUUAUUCUCAUAAUUUAUACAUGUUGUAUAUAACUGAAAAAUGAGGUUACCCGCAUAUUGCUGAUUAUGGCAACCGUACUGUCAUAUAUAUAUAUAUAUAAAUUACUACCACAGAUAAUGGUAACUGAAGAUAGGAUUAAAACAAUUUGGAAAUCACCGUGGGAACACAGGUGAUGGAUCGAAACCCUUACAUUGUUCAUCUAGAUCUGUAGUAAAUGAUCCUAUUCAUAAAACAAAAUGUUUUUUGAUGCAGCGAAUUAUGCCAGAUUGACAGUGAAACAGAAUAAUGAUUCAUUGUCAACCGCCAUAUAAUGGAGGUUCGCUGCCAAGCUGUGAGCCAAAUACAUCCACUAAAAAUCAAAGCAAACUUCAAGUUACAUGUAACUACUAGUAAAGUUGCUCAAUAAAUCGUAAAAAACUGUAUAUAUCUACAGUAAAAAUUUACACAAGAUCAAUUAUACAAAGUUUGUCUUAGGUUACAAUAUUGUAUUUAUAUCACUGAGACAAAAACACAAAACAAAACAACAUAUUUCAUACUUAUAUAUCAGUAGAGGGGAAAACAUGACCAUUGGUUUUAAGCAUGAAAAACUCAAGACCACCUUGAAUUGAAUUUAAAAAAAUUGUUAUUUCCUAUAACAGACAAAUGCACCCCAUCAGAUUUAUACAUGUUUCAGUCCUAGAAAUGUCUGGAUAGCGUAUUAAACAAUAACCACCCGAUUCCAAUAUAUAGUUAGCUACUGCAUUAUUAACCCUGUAUCUACAUUUUUCCAUUGCCUUACCAUUGUUAGAAUAUCUCCAUUUAAACGAGGCAACAUUUGUGACCACACAAUUUUAGUGUCAGGCAAGUCCUUUGAAAUAAAGGUCAUAGCUUGUAUCAACUUUUCUCUUAAGUCUUUAGUUUUUAUAUUCCCUAAAUCAUUAGCACCUACAUGUACG
This 1224-nucleotide long non-coding RNA is filed under the name Mytilus galloprovincialis (Mediterranean mussel). Lineage: Eukaryota; Metazoa; Mollusca; Bivalvia; Mytilida; Mytilidae. The record is from RNAcentral.